This 313-nucleotide ribosomal RNA is filed under the name uncultured bacterium. Its description in RNAcentral is "bacterial SSU rRNA". It matches the Rfam family "Bacterial small subunit ribosomal RNA", at positions 29 to 325 of the family's 1533-position model. The record is from RNAcentral.
AACGAACGCUGGCGGCGUGGAUAAGACAUGCAAGUCGAACGGGAACUUCAGCUGUAGCAAUACAGUUGAAGUUUUAGUGGCGAACGGGUGCGUAACACGUGGGCAAUCUGCCGAGAAGUGGGGGAUAGCUCGCCGAAAGGCGAAUUAAUACCGCAUAUGAUCAGCUAAGACAUCUUAGCGACAUCAAAGCCGGGGCAACCUGGCGCUUUUUGAGGAGCCCGCGGCCUAUCAGCUAGUUGGUGAGGUAACGGCUCACCAAGGCUAUGACGGGUAGCUGGUCUGAGAGGACGACCAGUCACACUGGAACUGAGAC